Molecule: ribosomal RNA, 253 nt
Filed under: uncultured bacterium
Lineage: Bacteria
Description: partial 16S ribosomal RNA
Rfam family: Bacterial small subunit ribosomal RNA
Source: RNAcentral
GACAGAGGGUGCGAACGUUGUUCGGAAUUACUGGGCGUAAAGCGCAUGUAGGCGGCAGCGCAAGUCGGGCGUGAAAUCCCACGGCUCAACCGUGGAAGUGCACUCGAAACUGCGCAGCUAGAGUCCUGGAGAGGAAGGUGGAAUGCUUGGUGUAGAGGUGAAAUUCGUAGAUAUCGAGCGGAACACCGGUGGCGAAGGCGGCCUUCUGGACAGUGACUGACGCUGAGAUGCGAAAGCGUGGGGAGCAAACAGG